Long non-coding RNA from Bombyx mori (domestic silkworm), 823 nucleotides. RefSeq lists it as uncharacterized. The record is from RefSeq and is a predicted model, not a curated record. The transcript is spliced from 2 exons. Lineage: Eukaryota; Metazoa; Arthropoda; Insecta; Lepidoptera; Bombycidae.
UUUAUCUUUGUAAUUAAAUUUUCGUUUUAUUUGGUACUAGUACCAACAAUUCGAUGUUUUUAAUUGAACUUAAAAUAAGUUUACCCCAUUUAAGUAAAUAGCCAAAGAAGUUUUUUGUUAUGAUAUUUUUUCCAAAUUUUAUACUUUUGAAUGCCUCUCAUGUAAAGUAUCAAAUAUCAAAAGUAUCAAAUGCUUAAACCAAAUAGUCUUUCAACUAGCCAAAUAAUUUAAAAAAAAAAAACCGCUAUAUAGAAAUUAAAUGUCAGUUAUUUACAUUAUCUUAUUAUCCGGUCUUGUGAGUGGAGUAACUCAUAUUUUUGUAUAAAUUCGUACGUUGUUUUAUUACGUCUGUAAUGUUUAGAUCACUAAUAACUUUAACAGAUCACAAAGUGAAUGUUGGAAUCCACCAUGAAAGUUCAGGUCGUAAUCCUAAAUUUAUAAACCAGGAGUUACGUCCUUAAGGCCACAGGCGGUUCAAUGUAUCUACAGCUCAAACUAUUUUGGUAGCCGCAACAAUAUGGCGAUAUGGUAACCAAGGAAAAAAUAGGAAAAAAUGAGAACCUUGAAUUAAAAAAUAAUGAAAACAUGAGUCAGAGAAUCAAUAAUUAUUUAAAUAAUUAUCAUUGAUACGGCGCAUAUUGCGAGGAGUUUUCUUACUUUAGAACUCUAGCCACUGAUUGCUUGUGUCGUAGAUACCGCCAUUUGCGGUAAUAAUUUUUUUAUACAAUUAAAAAAAUAUGAAUAUUUUAAUAUUAAAAUAAAAAAUAUAUAUAGAAUAGAAGAAUAAUAAGAUUUCAAUAAAUAUAGUAUAUUUAAAAUAAAA